RNAcentral lists this ribosomal RNA (319 nucleotides) under Protimesius evelineae. Its description in RNAcentral is "partial small subunit ribosomal RNA". The record is from RNAcentral. Lineage: Eukaryota; Metazoa; Arthropoda; Arachnida; Opiliones; Stygnidae.
CCCUAGUAUUAGUUUAAUUAGAUAUAUUAGUAAGAGAUUGAAAUUAAAAAUUUUUGGCGGUUAAUUUAUUUUUAGAGGAGCUUGUUUUGAGAAAUUACUCUUUGUAUUUUAUUUAUGGGAGUUUAUUUAUCUCCGUUAUAAGAUAGUGAAGUUUAGGAAACUUAUGAGUUUUAUUUCAGGUCAAGAUGUAGCGAUUGUAAGUUAAAAUUAGCUACAUUUAUAUAAUAGACGGAUUAAGGAUUAAGGUAAAUUUAUUACGAAGUUGAAUUUAGUUGUAAUACGUUUUAUAAUAAAUGUACGAAUAAUCAAAAUUAAUGUA